GUUUUCUGGCUUGGAAAGGUUGAAGGAGCAAUGACAGGUGUCCUGGGGCUCGAAUGACUGGCCGAGGCGGCAGAAGCUGGCCCGGUCGCUGUAGACUCUUGGACGCAGUAGCAGCGCUCGCUCAGCCUCUUCUGCCUCCCCCACGUCCACACAGAGAGAAAUCCAACCCUUGGCUGAGGCCUGAAAGAAGACCUGCAUUCACGCCGCGGAGGGGAGUGCUGCUCAGCUGUCAAAAGAACAAGCCCAGCAGAGGCAGGGUCAGAAGGUCCUUUCCUCUCCCUCCACCCUUUUGUUUCCGUUUCCUCUCCUCUUCUCCCCCUCCUUCCUCCAUGCCUUCUGUUUGUUUGUUUAUUUGUUUAUCUUUUGCUCUGUGUGUUUUGAGACAGGCUCUCCCUUUGUAGCCUAUGCACACCUGGAACUCCCUGUGUAGUCCAUGGAAACGCUUCUGAUUCGGCCUCCUAAAUUCUUGGGAAGAUGGACUGCUGGGGUGGGGCACUUGCUGCUAAGCCUGAAGACCUGAAAUCACUCUCCGGAACUCACGUGGUAGGAGAGAGAGAACCAACUCCUGAAAGUUGUCCUCUGACCGCCACAUGUAAUGGGGACACAGGCAACUUGUCUAGUAGGCCUAUGUAUACAGCUGAGUGUUUGGACCAAUCAUGGCCAUUUGUUUGGGCCAAACCCCCGUCUUGCCAAUUUUUUUUUUUUUUUUUUUGAGACAGGGUUUCUCUGUGUAGCCCUGGCUGUCCUGGAACUCAUUUUGUAGACCAGGCUGGUCUCGAACUCAGAAAUCCGCCUGCCUCUGCAUUCUGAGUGCUGGGAUUAAAGGCGUGUGCCACUACACCCGGCUCCAUCUUGCCUCUUGGCAUCAUGAAAUUCCUCUAGUAAGCCACCAGGGGGAGUGUUCCACCCCUGUCGCAGGUGGAAAUGGUUGUAGGGUCAUCUAGAGAUCAUCAAGGCUUGGUAUAGUGAAAAUUCUGAUACCUCCGGGAGCUUAGGCAAUUGGCUGCAGUCUUUGUGUAGUUACCUCUGUCAGUGUUCUAGAUUGCUGAUUCUGACACAGGAUGAUCUGAUGGCUGUGAGAUUUUUGCUCCAGGGAGUCAGGGAGAGCUGAUGUAGUCAUGCAAACUGUCCCAAGCCUAAUGUCUUUGCUAAGUAACAGGAAAAUGGUCACUGGUAGGAGUGUUCACAUAUACACACAUAGAACUUAUUAACAAUAAGAGUGAUUUUAAAAAAUGAUUUACGUAUUUAUGUUAUAUAUCUAUGAGCACACCAUUGCUGUCUUCAGACACACCAGAAGCGGGCAUCACAUCCCAUUACCAAUGGUUGUGAGCCACCAUGUGGUUGCUGGGAAUUGAACUCAUGACCCCAGUUAAGUGCUCUUAACUGCUGAGCUCUCUCUCCAGCCCACUAAGGAUGAUUUUUAAAACAGAUUGAAGAGAGUUCACCACCUGCUCAAUGCCCCAGAGAGUGCUGAGUGCUCCUUAUACGUGCCAGUAGGAAAUCAUCAAGACCUAUAGAAUAGCCGGGCGUGGUGGCGCACGCCUUUAAUCCCAGCACUCGGAGGCAGAGGCAGGCAGAUUUCUGAGUUCGAGGCCAGCCUGGUCUACAGAGUUCCAGGACAGCCAGAGCUAUACAGAGAAACUCUGUCUUG
This 1651-nucleotide long non-coding RNA is filed under the name Mus musculus (house mouse). RNAcentral's name for it is "predicted gene 10687 (Gm10687)". Lineage: Eukaryota; Metazoa; Chordata; Mammalia; Rodentia; Muridae. The record is from RNAcentral.